Molecule: non-coding RNA, 2797 nt
Organism: Aegilops tauschii subsp. strangulata
Lineage: Eukaryota; Viridiplantae; Streptophyta; Magnoliopsida; Poales; Poaceae
Source: RefSeq, a predicted model, not a curated record
GACACAGCAGAUCGAUCUCCGCCGCCGCCCGAUCGCACGCCCGAACCACUCCUACCCCAUCGGCCCCGUCGGAUCUCGCCGCUGGCGGACGACUCGAGAAGACCCCGCCGGAUCUCGCCCUCGUCGUCAGUUCUGGAUCGCCGCCGCCGCCGAUCCCCUCCGGAAAACAACGCCGAUCCCCUGCUCGCCCACGCACGCAGCCGCGGAUGGAGGCCGCCUGCUCGCGAUCCCCAAACCUGCUGGCGCCGCACUCCGUAGGAUCCAAGUACGCCCCUCUCCGUGGUGUUCACUGAUUGCUUGGAGCAACAACGUGCUGUUGGAGUUGCCGAAGCAUUAGGUGAUUCGAUUGUGUGCGUUUGCUGGAUUUGUUUGACGAAGGAAAGAUGACGAUGAAGGACACACAGAGGAGUGUGAGCGGUGAUGGUACCAAGGUUACCGGCAGGUAUGCAUGCAGGAACUGACUGUACAGUGUUCCUAUAAUGCUACUGGUUUUAACGUCUGUAUUGUGAUGCUACUGGCAGUUUAAAUAAAUCUGCUAUCAUUUGGGAUGUGAGUUGUCACAACUCGCUGUGCUCUGGUGUUCAGCUCAGAAUUUCUUUUGGGAAUGAUUCCUCUGAAUAGACUACUUAUGCUUGACAUUCUACUUUUGUUAUUUCUAUUUGUAACUCAAUUUCGGUAUCCUCACAAAUUGACAAUACUUUUUCUGGAUAUGGUAGUUGAGAAUAGUUAUGGUAUAUAGCGGAGUUAGCCCAUCCUCACCAAUGACUCUUCCUCAGGGAUUUGCUGAACUAUAGUUAGUAAUGGGGGUAUUGCAGACUGUUUAGAAUUAUGGGGGUAUUGCAGACUUUAGAAACUGAAUUAGAUUUUUGUGCAAUUGAAAAAGGUGUAUACAACUUGAAUUUAUUAGGUAGUAUAGGAGAGAUAUGAAAUUUUAAAAUUGUUAGUCAGAUUUGUGUGUUGUUUUGGGUAGUAUUCAGUUUUGUUCCAUCUUAGAGGCCAAUAAUUCACAUGUGAUAUUAUCUACAUAAUUCAGUUUAUACGGCUUCCCAUAUUCCAAUGGUUGUAUUUUGCUAAAUUGCCAUCUACUUACUGGAAUUCUCACAAAUAGAAGUGCAGUCAGAAGGUAAAAAGGAUGGUAUGGUAUGUCUCCAUUCACAUGGUACUGAACUGUUAGUGAUUCUUUGUGUUAUUCUGCAGACUUGAACUUAGUUUCUAUGGUUUUCUUUUUCUGUUCAUAGACGAGAGUAUAGUCUGAAGGGAAAAAUUGGUAUGCUCUGAAGGGUGUGCAAGAACAGUGAGAUUUAUAUUACUGAAUGUAUUGUUAACAAUUUGUUAUUUUGCAGACUUGCUCUCAGUUUUUAUUCUUGGCAGGUGAUUCUUCAUGAUAAUUUUUUGUAGAGGAACAUUUUUGCGAUGGGGCCUGGAACGGUGAUCGGUGGUGCUGGUGUCGGCAGUGCGGUACAAGGUCAGGAUGCGGGAUGGGACGGCCAUCCGUGUGAGGCAGUCGGCGGCGAGGGUUUGUGGCAUCACGAGGAGUGCCCGCGGAUUCAAGGUGUUGGCCCGAGACCUCCUACGAGGGAGGAGACGAUGUUAGUAUUUCCAUAGGAAAAAAACAAGAGAAGAAGAACAAGAACAACGACGGCAAUCUCGGGUUCCAGAACUCAGAUUUAUGACAAGGACACAAGCAAAUUUAUAGCAUCCGUUGUGAUGAUACAAGGGAAGUAAGCAUAGAUGCGCUCAACGUGAUGAUAGAUGGGAGAGCUCGGCCUAUGCUGCCAACUGAUCUGCAGCGGUGCAGAAGGAGAUUUCAAAAGCAGGGCAAGCGAGAGCGACUGUUCUAUUGAUGGUCAACGGGAGGGCUUGGCAAGAGAGAUUGAGGGAGCUCUACUACCUCGAUCUUGGCAUAGAACCUGAUGGCAUCAUGCCCAGGAAACUUCCUUCUUCAGUAUGUAUGGGGAUUUAUAUGACACCAAAAGAGAAGUCCGGCGUGUUUCUUGGUUCUAUGGAACCCCUCGACCGGAAGCAAAUAGAUCACAUCGCAAGUUGCUUGCCCAAUAUAAUCGUGCCGCAAGUUACCAACAUCGCGUGCUUAUACACCAUCGACUUUGCUGGAAAUCUAUCUGUCCGUGCUCCACCGUCUAUCGGAACUUCUUCUGCCCAUGCUACACCUGAGGUACAUACUACAGUCUCAUCAAUUAAUAAUACCCAAUUGCUUGUCUGUUGCCCAAUGCACUGCAGCUUAAUAUGCAAACCCUGAGCUUUGUUUAUUUGCAUUGAGCUUAUACUUCCUUGCCCCAAGGAGAAGGUUUCAUGCCCCCAGAAGUAGAAUACGUACAGACAGGCACCCAUCGGGAUCAAGAAACCAAAGUCUGGGCCCUGUUAACUACUCCCUCCGUUCCAAAAUAGAUGACCCAACUUUAUACUAACUUUGUACUAAAGUUAAUACAAAGUUGAGUCAUCUAUUUUGGAAUGGAGGGAGUACAAAGCAAGUCGAUGCCAGCAUACGUAUGACAAACUGAUGGGCCUGUCAGAGCGAACCCCUGGUUGAAAUUUGUCAAAAGACUGGGCGGUAAACUGAGUGGUAGUCUUAGUAUCUUAAUACACAACUUGCCUACUAUGGGAAUUGUGUUUAUGUUGUUAUGGGAUUAUGGAGGUAUGAUCUAAAAAAAUUAUGGAGUUACGAUCUAAAAAAGAACUAUGGAGUUGUGUGCAAAGAAAGGACAUAAUGUUUCUCAAAUUGCCCUUUGUAUCUCUAUGUUUUGCACUUUAUCAAAGGCGCAAUUAGUUGAGCUCUCAA